UACGUAGGGGGCGAGCGUUGUCCGGAGUUACUGGGCGUAAAGGGCGUGCAGGCGGUGCGGUAAGUUUAGAAGUGACAGUAUCCGGCUUAACUGGAUAAGGCCUCUGAAAACUGCCGGACUUGAGGGCCAGAGAGGGACAUAGAAUUCCGGGUGGAGUGGUGAAAUAGCAUAGAUAUCCGGAGGAAUACCAAAGGCGAAGGCGAGUGUCCUGGCUGGCAACUGACGCUGAGGCGCGAAAGCUAGGGGAGCGAACAGG
This 256-nucleotide ribosomal RNA is filed under the name uncultured bacterium. RNAcentral describes it as "partial 16S ribosomal RNA". It matches the Rfam family "Bacterial small subunit ribosomal RNA", at positions 524 to 776 of the family's 1533-position model. The record is from RNAcentral.